GUCUCUUUGGAGACAUUCGAUAAUAUUGGAACCAUGCGAACAAGACUAGCGUGGACCCUGUACAAGGAUGACAAGUACAAAUGACAAGUGGUCCAGAUUUUU
Molecule: non-coding RNA, 102 nt
Organism: Punica granatum (pomegranate)
Lineage: Eukaryota; Viridiplantae; Streptophyta; Magnoliopsida; Myrtales; Lythraceae
Source: Rfam